This 527-nucleotide ribosomal RNA is filed under the name Anastrepha tumida. Its description in RNAcentral is "partial small subunit ribosomal RNA". It matches the Rfam family "Bacterial large subunit ribosomal RNA", at positions 1813 to 2605 of the family's 2925-position model. Lineage: Eukaryota; Metazoa; Arthropoda; Insecta; Diptera; Tephritidae. The record is from RNAcentral.
AAACAUGUCUUUUUGAAAUAUAUUUAAAGUCUGACCUGCCCACUGAAUAAUUUUAAAUGGCCGCAGUAUUCUGACUGUGCAAAGGUAGCAUAAUCAUUAGUCUUUUAAUUGAAGGCUGGUAUGAACGGUUGGACGAAGUAUAAGCUGUUUCAUAUAAAUUUAUAAUAGAAUUUUAUAUUUUAGUUAAAAAGCUAAAAUGUUAUUAAAAGACGAGAAGACCCUAUAAAUCUUUAUAAUUAAUAGUAACUAAAUUUUUUUGAUUUAUUUUAUUUUUUUAAUGUUAAUUAUUUUGUUGGGGUGAUGUUAAAAUUUAAUGAACUUUUAAUUUUUUAAAAUCAUUAAUUUAUGAAUUAUUGAUCCAUUAAUAGUGAUUAUAAGAUUAAGUUACUUUAGGGAUAACAGCGUAAUUUUUUUUGAGAGUUCAUAUCGACAAAAAAGUUUGCGACCUCGAUGUUGGAUUAAGGUAUAAUUUUGGGUGUAGCCGUUCAAAAAUUAAGUCUKYKCGACUUUUAAAUCCUUACAUGAUC